ACCCGCUGAACUUAAGCAUAUCAAUAAGCGGAGGAAAAGAAACUAACAAGGAUUCCCCUAGUAACUGCGAGUGAAGCGGGAAAAGCUCAAAUUUAAAAUCUGGCGGUCUUUGGCCGUCCGAGUUGUAAUCUAGAGAAGUGUUACCCGCGUCGGACCGUGUACAAGUCUCCUGGAAUGGAGCGUCAUAGAGGGUGAGAAUCCCGUCUUUGACACGGACUACCGAGGCUUUGUGGUGCGCUCUCAAAGAGUCGAGUUGUUUGGGAAUGCAGCUCAAAAUGGGUGGUAAAUUCCAUCUAAAGCUAAAUAUUGGCGAGAGACCGAUAGCGAACAAGUACCGUGAGGGAAAGAUGAAAAGAACUUUGGAAAGAGAGUUAAACAGUACGUGAAAUUGCUGAAAGGGAAACGCUUGAAGUCAGUCGCGUCGUCCGGGAAUCAGCCUUCCUUCUGGUUGGUGUACUUCCUGGUCGACGGGCCAGCAUCAGUUUUGACCGGUGGAAAAAGUUCGAGGGAAUGUGGCACCUCCGGGUGUGUUAUAGCCCUCGUUCGUAUACAUCGGUUGGGACUGAGGAACUCAGCACGCCGCAAGGCCGGGAUUCGUCCACGUUCGUGCUUAGGAUGCUGGCAUAAUGGCUUUAAUCGACCCGUCUUGAAACACGG
Molecule: ribosomal RNA, 657 nt
Filed under: uncultured fungus
Lineage: Eukaryota; Fungi
Description: LSU rRNA
Rfam family: Eukaryotic large subunit ribosomal RNA
Source: RNAcentral